This 498-nucleotide ribosomal RNA is filed under the name uncultured bacterium. RNAcentral's name for it is "partial 16S ribosomal RNA". It matches the Rfam family "Bacterial small subunit ribosomal RNA", at positions 30 to 523 of the family's 1533-position model. The record is from RNAcentral.
AUUGAACGCUGGCGGCAUGUCUUACACAUGCAAGUCGAACGGUAACAGGUCUUCGGAUGCUGACGAGUGGCGAACGGGUGAGUAAUACAUCGGAACGUGCCUAGUAGUGGGGGAUAACUACUCGAAAGAGUGGCUAAUACCGCAUGAGAUCUACGGAUGAAAGCAGGGGAUCGCGAGACCUUGUGCUACUAGAGCGGCCGAUGGCAGAUUAGGUAGUUGGUGGGAUAAAAGCUUACCAAGCCGACGAUCUGUAGCUGGUCUGAGAGGACGAUCAGCCACACUGGGACUGAGACACGGCCCAGACUCCUACGGGAGGCAGCAGUGGGGAAUUUUGGACAAUGGGCGCAAGCCUGAUCCAGCAAUGCCGCGUGCAGGAUGAAGGCCUUCGGGUUGUAAACUGCUUUUGUACGGAACGAAAAGCCCUGGGUUAAUACCCUGGGGUCAUGACGGUACCGUAAGAAUAAGCACCGGCUAACUACGUGCCAGCAGCCGCGGUAA